Molecule: ribosomal RNA, 293 nt
Filed under: uncultured Pseudomonas sp.
Lineage: Bacteria; Pseudomonadati; Pseudomonadota; Gammaproteobacteria; Pseudomonadales; Pseudomonadaceae
Description: partial 16S ribosomal RNA
Rfam family: Bacterial small subunit ribosomal RNA
Source: RNAcentral
GUACGAGCGCAACCCUUGUCCUUAGUUACCAGCACGUUAUGGUGGGCACUCUAAGGAGACUGCCGGUGACAAACCGGAGGAAGGUGGGGAUGACGUCAAGUCAUCAUGGCCCUUACGGCCUGGGCUACACACGUGCUACAAUGGUCGGUACAAAGGGUUGCCAAGCCGCGAGGUGGAGCUAAUCCCAUAAAGCCGAUCGUAGUCCGGAUCGCAGUCUGCAACUCGACUGCGUGAAGUCGGAAUCGCUAGUAAUCGUGAAUCAGAAUGUCACGGUGAAUACGUUCCCGGGCCUU